Molecule: long non-coding RNA, 2293 nt
Filed under: Gossypium barbadense (sea-island cotton)
Lineage: Eukaryota; Viridiplantae; Streptophyta; Magnoliopsida; Malvales; Malvaceae
Description: long non-coding RNA (GBAR_LNC019487)
Source: RNAcentral
AUAUUUUCUGCACUCUCAUCAGACAAAAACGUCCUAAGGGUUUAUUCAAGCUGGUUUUUCAUAAUUUUUUCCCCAAGUGAGUUAAUUCUUGCCUUUUUCUUGUAAUUUUUGUGUUUCUAAGACUUUUACAACUAGGUCCUAUUACUAAAUUCAUUAGUUUUUGAUUUUAUGAAUGAAUUUGAAAGUUGCUAUGAAUAUGUGCUGGAAUUUUAUGAUGAAAUAGGAUGAAAUUGAAGCUUUAAUUUGUUUUUGAGAUGAUUUUAUUAGGCAAUUUCAAUAGAAAUUGAUUUGUAGGACCUAAUUGUGAAAAAGUUUGAAAUUAAAUUCUAGUACGAAACUCUGAUUUCCAAAGAUUAUAAAGUAGUUUAAAGUGAUGGGAUAAAGUGUUAAUUGAGAAGAAUCAUCUCAAUUGAGAGGUUAAUUGAGCAGGGAUGAAAUUAUCAUUUAUUGAAAGUUUAGGGAAAAAUGGUAAUUAACAUCAUACACUAAAACAGUUUUGGACAGCAACAGUACUCUAACUUUGAAAAAUCACCAUAAAUUUUAUAAAUCGAAUUAGAGGAUGAAAAAAAUAUGGAAUUAAAGCUUAUUGAGUCUAGUUUCAUAUAGAAGAAAUGGUGUAAGCAAUGGAGUUGUAAAUCAUGAGAUAUAAUAGAUUUUGUGAGAUAAUGUCAGAAUGAAUUUGGGUUCCCCUGUUCUGACUUUGGAAAAUCAUUAAAAAAUUGUAAAAAAAAUGAUUAUGAGUUAUAAUUUAUAUGGUUAGAAUCCUUGAUGAGUCUAUUUUCAGAAGAAACAAACGGAGACAUCAUUCGAAUUCUGUACAAUGAGAUAAUUAAUUUUUAGUGAAGAGGGGUCGGAACUGUCAAACAAUGAAACAGGGGAAUUUUAAAGAAUAAACUGUACUUAUUUGCUACACCAAAAAUUAUGAAAAUUUUAUGGUAAGAAGAUAUGUGAGUCUAGUUUCAGGUAAAAUUAACGGAUCUUGAUUUGGAGUUCCGUAGCUCAAGAUAUAAAUAAUUUAGUGACUGUGACUCAGUGAGACAGCUUUGAAUGCACUAUAAAUAAUAAUGGAAUUUUAGAGAAUGUUACAUAUGAACAUGAAAUGUAUUAGAUUAAUGAUCAAAUUUAUUUAUUUAGAUCCGGAAAAGUCAAAUACGAAGCUAGAUAGAGGGAAAGAAAAAGUUCGGGAUUAGUAGAUUUUUGGUUACGAACAAGUAUCGAGGUAAGUUCGUGUAACUUGAAUUAUAUUCUUAAAUGCUUGAAAUGUUUGUUAUUGAUGUGAAAAUGAGUUGGAUGUUUAUUGUAUGAUAAUUGAUGAAGUAUUGAUAUUCUUGAUGAAAAGAGAAAAUAAAUCCCGGUUGAAUGGAAGAAAAAUUCGAUGGAUCUCUGAAAAGGAAUUGACGGUAAAAAGGAUCUAGCCCGGACGAGUGAUCCUAUCCUGAUAUAGCCCUCCCGAAGAAUAUGUGGAAAAUGGAUUUAGCCCGGACGGGUAAUCCGAAUUGGGGUCUGAAGUUAGCCUGGAUUGGUAAUUCAGAUCCAAGCUCAUUAGAGUAAUUGUCGUUGCAGGGGAUUUAGCCUGGACUGGUAAUCCCGACAAUACUCUAUGAGUUUACAUUACAGGGGAUUUAGCCUGGACUGGUAAUCCCGCUGUAAGGAUGAGGUUCGCGGGAGUGUGCUCUCUGAAAUGGAAAUGUGCGCACAUGAAUAUGAAUUGACGGACCCGGAUUUGUACACUAAAGUGUACCUCUGAAAAUCCAUCGAAAUUCCGAGAAAUUCAACGGGAUAAAUAUGAAAAAAUAACAAGGAAAUGGAAAUCAUGGAAUUGAUGAGCUCAUCAAUCAUGAUAUAUAUUAUUGAUACGUGGAAAUUAUUGGACUAAUUUGAAUGUUGAGUUUGUGCAUGAUAGGGGAAUAAUGUAUGGAAUGGGUGUAUGAAUGUUUAUUACAUUGCAUGAAAAAUAUUAGGUAAGUAUAAUUCUUGUUACAUGAGCUUACUAAGCACAAAGUGCUUAUCCUGUUUCUUUUCCCCUGUUUUGUAGUGUUAAGAGCUCGGAGGUCGGAUUUGGUCGGAGAAGCAUCACACUAUCAACGUCAAGAUCUCGGUACAUAAAGAAACUUAUUUUGGAAAUCAAUGGCAUGUAUAAGCUAGUAAAGUAGAUGUUAAUGUGGAAUGAAUGUAUGGUUAGCUAUUGGUAUGGCUAACAAAUUUUGGUUUUGGCAUGUGAUGAGAUUAUCUUAUGAAUACAAUAAAUCUAUUUUGAAAAUAUGUUGAAAUGGAUUGGUUAUGUUGGCUUGAU